CUACGGGAUGCAGCAGUGAGGAAUAUUGCACAAUGGGGGGAACCCUGAUGCAGCAACGCCGCGUGGAGGAUGACGCAUUUCGGUGUGUAAACUCCUUUUAUAUGUCAAGAAAAUGACGGUAGCAUAUGAAUAAGCACCGGCUGAACUCCGUGCCAGCAGCCGCGGUAAUACGGAGGGUGCAAGCGUUACUCGGAAUCACUGGGCGUAAAGGACGCGUAGGCGGGUUGGAAAGUCAGGUGUGAAAUCCUACAGCUUAACUGUAGAACUGCACUUGAAACUUCUAAUCUAGAGUAUGGGAGGGGGAGAUGGAAUUAGUGGUGUAGGGGUAAAAUCCGUAGAUAUCACUAGGAAUACCUAAAGCGAAGGCGAUCUCCUGGAACAUUACUGACGCUAAGGCGUGAAAGCGUGGGGAGCAAACAGGAUUAGAUACCCGGGUAGUC
This 440-nucleotide ribosomal RNA is filed under the name uncultured bacterium. Its description in RNAcentral is "partial 16S ribosomal RNA". It matches the Rfam family "Bacterial small subunit ribosomal RNA", at positions 339 to 795 of the family's 1533-position model. The record is from RNAcentral.